CAUAUAGUUAAGGAGCAGCAUGUAUUUAUUUUUAAGAGUUUCUGAUUAUAAGUAGUUUUCAGUUUUUCCUAACUAAAGUGUAAGUUUCUCUUAAUACAUGCGAAGGAGAGAUUCAAGCUCUCAGUAGUGUUGAGGGGAGGCUUGCUGUGAACAAUUUGGGUUCCUAAAGAAAGAUGUCUGUGAAUAAUGUGCAACUAAGAGAGUUGGCCCAGGUGAGAGAUUCCAUGACACUGAAAGCACAGCGAUGAUCACACAGCCAUGUCGCAGCAGUACGUGCCAGAGCCUGAGGCUGUCAGGACACAGCUUGGAGACGCAUGGGAUGCCAAGCAGAGGAAACUGACGCACAGCCGGCUGAAGAACUGCCCUGUCCUAAACUCAUCUGAAGGAAAGGAAACUGAAGAAGAAAAUCUGACUUGUGGAGCUGUUCAGCACAGAAUAUUCUUGCAGAGAUCAACAAACUGAAGAAAUUCAGUGCCUAAGAAACCAAGGGAUUGGAACUUUGUUAAAGAUCUCAAGAAAAAGAUUUGCACAUAUAUUAACAGAAUGCAGACAUCCUUGUUCUUGGCCUUAAACUUUUAAUGGCAAUUAUCCUUCCAUGCAUAAGAAAGGUUGGAUGACUCCUUCAUUUUCAGAGGAAGUAGCAAAAUAAGAAAUUUUCCAGGUGAUUAUUUCACUGUACCCUAUUCGCAAAAUGAAUGCAAGAUAAUUUGUGAAGUCUGCAACCUUAGAUAGUGAUCUAAGUUCAGUUCCUGGUAUGUUUGUUCUCAGCACAGAUGCUGAAAACGGAACUGAUUAAAAACAACACAAAACCCAACCACCAAACCCCCAAUGCCCCCAGUGAAUGCUGUAAAACAGAUUUAUUUGCUUUUAUCUCCUAGCAGUAAGCCUAAUGAUCAAGUUUGAUUGAAAGGUAGACAUACAGUUUUAAAACUAUGAUAUACAUGGAAGUACACAGGUAACAAAUAGUAAUUAAAACCCCCAACUAUUAAAGACCUCAUUAGAUGCCCAAAACCAAGAAACUCACGAUCACUAACAAAAACAUCAGAAAAUUCUGCUGUUUGUGGAGACAGUAUCAUCACCUGUAAGUUUUCCAGCACUUAAAUGACCAUUGGUCUCUUGUUUAAUGAGCAUUUCUGGACACAUCCUUGCAUCUACACCUUUCAACUUUUUUUUGAUAUUUGAUAUAUUUGAUACUACAUGUGCAAUCAGUAUGUAGGACUACACUCUUAACACGGCUAUUAGUUGCAAUAACUAAUGGGAACUCUUUUCAGCUGCACCCACAAGUCAGGUAAGUGUCUAACUGCUUGCAAAUCUGCCCUGAAUUGACAAGAAUAGGUUGGCAACUGACAAAAACCAAGUUCUAGUAUAAACCAGAACAUAUGAUGAUUAUGGUUUAUCUUGUGAAAUCGGACCUCUGAGAUGCACUUCUGUUCUAUUGUUACACAAAUAAACUCUGAUGGAAAGCACUUCCACAAGCGUUAGUUUUCACGACAAAUAAUGUCUCUGUGUGUGUGUUCAUAUACAUGCACUCACCUCUGUUAAUUAGGUAUCUGUUCCUUGUCUGUUGGGUUCCUAGUUGGAGACUAAAAAGAAACAGAUGCAAUUAAUGAAAGUAAUGUAUAUCAAUGAUAAAUUAGGCCAGUGCAGAAUGUCUUUGAAAGUUGAAUAAUUCACAAAAUACACGCCUAGGAUGAAUCACUUUUUAUGUGUUUUACUUCAAAUGUGAUACAACACAUGUCCUUGGGAGUAGGGGACCAAGAGACAUCCACAAAAAUAGGCACCUCUUGUGUGGGAGAAUGCCAUGAGGUGGAUUUUGUACAGAUCUUACUUCUAACAGCAUGGCUGGUCUGUGUUGGUAGCAAUUAGGAGAGGCUGAGGGGUACAUGGAUAUUCAGUUGCCUUGGUGAACUCCUCAGUCAACAGUUUGACUGUGGCCUUGCCUCAUGAAGACUGGAUUUGGUGACAAAUGGGCAGGAAACUGAUUUUUGU
This 1989-nucleotide long non-coding RNA is filed under the name Aquila chrysaetos chrysaetos. RNAcentral's name for it is "lncRNA (ENSACCG00020005702.1)". Lineage: Eukaryota; Metazoa; Chordata; Aves; Accipitriformes; Accipitridae. The record is from RNAcentral.